AAACCAAGCAUCAUUUGGGACAAUCGAUCGGCUUCAACACAUAAUCACUCGCCAUGUGGCCCCUGCUUAGGAUCGACAUGCAUCUUGCAUGUAUCCUUUCCCAGGUUCUAGCCAUAUCUGUUGCAACAGCCAUGGGUUGUUACCAUAUACGCCCGUAUCUGCGGGUAGCUAGGUUUGUUGUGAUCCGAUAAAUUUGGCCGACGCUAUCCUAAAGCCAUGUGUCUCUCCUAUAAAACAAAUCCACCCAGCCUCGUCUUCGGCCUCAAACAGAACGCCAUAGCGCAGCUGAGAGAGAGAACAGAAGGGAGGAGAGAGGGCCUCGCCGGCGACCUUCGCUCCGGCCUUGAUGUGGGUGCCCAGUUCCUCGCUGGGCAGUGCCGAGCGUACACCGAGAAGGUCGCGCUCUCGCCGGUCAAGUCUGGAGGACGAGCUGCUCAGAAUGCGUCGUCAGCAUUGAGAGAAGUCAUGGGCUCCUACACAAAUGCAAUCCGCCGUCGUCUACGUCUCGACCAACGGUAAGAACAAUGCCCUGCCGUGCGCCGCAUCGCCCACUCCGAUGUGUGCGAACCCCUGUCUCCGGCCGGCGUCGCGCUGCCUAGGCGCAUGCCCCAGCCAUUACCACGAAGACGCCUGCCCUCACUUUUGCCUGCAUGCCGCCAUGCAUGUACUCAAUGAAGAAGAAAUAUCAUGCGUCUUCGUGGGAUUGGAAAGUGGACAACCGUAGGAAAUGUAAUCUGCUAGGCCCACCAGCAUGCAUCACGAUCCCACUAAAACCAAGUUGUUGCAUGCGGCACAAUUUCUUUUUCUCCAUACGACCAGCAAAUGCAAAACGGCCCCCACAUCCCCACAGAUCUUCUGCCCCCGCAGCCAUGUAGCCAAUCGUGUGGCCGGACUCUAGCCAACGAGAUCAUGACACGUCGCCUAUAAUCCGUGAAAUGUUAUUUACUCAAAAUAUUUGCGUUGUAGAACCAUUUCAACCUGUCCCAAUUGCGUUGAGUUUGUAAUAGUAUCGUCUACAUGUUAGAAACAUUGUUUUGUCACGACACGUGUUUUGAUUAAUUAAUUAAUUAAUUGUUCAUCCGAGGAUUAUUAAAAUGGCGAUUUAGUUAAAACUAAGUUAUAGUUUUAAUUUACGCUUUUAUAAAUACAUGUUAAUGUGGUUAAUGUCUACUCUAAUGUUUUUGUUUUAAAACUUGUUUAGUGUAAAUGUGAUAUCUGUUAGUGAUUCUUGUGUGAUUGCGCUCGCCGUCGUCGCGCUGUUCGCGCAUGUUGCCACGCACCAUUCACACGUAUCGCAUGCUGUCCGAGCCUAAUAUUAAAUCGUCUCACCAUAUUGUUCAUGUUGGAUAAUUAAUUACUUGCUUAAUUGUCAACUAUUAAAAUAACAAUUCAAUCGACUCAAAUUUAUUAUUUUUAAUUUUUAUUUUAUAAAUGCAUGUUAAUAUGACUAUACCGAACUAAGUGUGCUAAUCAAUACUCACUUAACGUAAACGUGGUACCUUCUCGACCGUAGCCCCGACUAUCUCGUUUCUAUUCCCCGUAUGACCAUGGAAGCGAGCUCUAUUUUAUAUAUGUUUUAUAAUGUUUUCUUUUAUUUGGUGUAAUGUUAAUUUUGCCUAUACCAUAUUUGUUUGUAUUGCUACGACUAGCGUGAGGUUACGAGCCACCUGAAGAACAAGUUGGUAGCUGGAAUCUCAAGUCCCAGGCAAGUUGUGCCCUUGAUCACUUCUUUUACCCACUCAUGUUCUAAUUAAUCAUAAUGAUCUGCAUAGGUUAAUUUUGAUGGGACCCAAUAGGUUACCCUAGUUUGACUAUCUUUAUACCUUGAUUACCACUGGACUUUUUGGGUAGUACUUGCUAUUGCUUUAUGUGGUUUUGGGUAUGAAGAUUACACUAUUCAUGGUUAUACUUUUGUUAUCAGUUGUUAUUUAUUGUUCAUGUUAAAGAUCAUUAUGUUAAUUGGAACAUGGAGAACCACCCGGGAAAACAGUGCUACCACAAGGGUUUAUGGACGCCCUUGGCUGACUAAUUAGGAAAGCUAGUGGAGGACUAUCUUACCCGAAAGGGGCAAGGGCAGUAGGGGAGUGGUCAGUGUAGGGAGGCCCUCGGGAGGAUUUUGCUGUGAUGGCGGUCCUGCAAGGGAUUCCUGGGAAGGCCCUCGGGAGGAUUUUGCUGUGAUGGCGGUCCUGCAAGGGAUUCCUGGGGAGGCCCUCGGGAGGAUUUUGCUGUGAUGGCGGUCCUGCAAGGGAUUCCUGCAUUGGAGCUUCCUAUAAACUGUAGCGGGUUUUCUGAAGCUAGUGGAACUUUGUAAAGGCCUCGUAGUGUUACCCUGCCUCGCCUCCUCGGUAGAGGUGUAUGGGAAGUCGCGAUCCCUUGGCAGAUGGGUAACAUGACUUGUGGGUAAAGAUGCGCAACCUCUGCAGAGUGUAAAACUGGUAUACUAGCCGUGCUCACGGUCAUGAGCAGCUCGGACACUCACAUGAUUAAAUUAUAUAACUUAAACUCAAUUUGUCAUAUGCAUUGCAUCGCAGGUGAGGUUGUUACUUUUGUUCUACUACUUAAUUGGGUUGGAAUUUACUUAUACUUAGUAAUUGCUAAUAAAAUUUUGACCAACUUUAAAAGCAAUGCUCAGCUCUAACCAUCCUCUUUGGUAAGCCUUACACUUCACAUGAGCUCCCAUCUUUGGCGAGUUCAGGCACAUUAUUCCCCACAACUUGUUGAGCGAUGAACGUAUGUGAGCUCACUCUUGCUGUCUCACACCCCCCCCACAGGUCAAGAACAGGUACCGCAGGAUGAGGCGCUUGGAGGAUGCUGCGAUGUGUUCGUGAGAGGUCUAGGUCGUCGUCUCCCAGUCAACUUUGGGUUGCUGGACCGUUGUCUCCAUAUAAUGUAAUAAUUUAUUUACUUUGUACAGAACUCCGAUUAUAUAGUAAAGAUGUGACAUUCGAUCCUGUGCCAUGAUUCAUCAUAUGUGUGAGACUUGGUCCCAGCACACCUGGUGAUUAUGUUCGCACCCGGGCUUUGGACCCCUAAAACCCGGGUGUGACAGAAGUGGUAUCAGAGGAAUGUUGACUGUAGGACUAAACCUAGAUAGAACUGGACAACCAAUACUUACUUACCUCUGCUACUCUGAUUCUUUUCUAAACUUCUCUUAAUCUUUCUCAUCUAUUUCCGCUUACUCUGAUUAUUCUUACCUUUUCCUUCUAAAGACAAACUUGGAUUUCACACUUUGAAAUCCUAUGCCUAAAGUGACUUUAGGAAUAGGAGACCUACUCUUAGGAACAAAAACAAAACUAUUUUUUUUCUAUAUGCUUGAAUGCUUGUUCUUAUGAUACAUGUAUGAUUUGGAUCUUUGAUUGAGUGUGAUGGGUUGUGGAGUAAUGUCCACAAUUACAUCUACAUAUAUAUAAUGCUUAUAAAAAUAACUAGACAAACUAGAUUAUCCCUCAUUAAAGUAUCUAGCCUAACAAAAUCCAUCUCAUCUUUAAAAAAAAAAAUCUAUCCUACACUCAUAGAUCCAUCUUAUCUUAAAAGGUACUCAUCUUACCUUGAAAAGAUCUUAUGUCACCCUAAUAGAUCUAACUAACCUCGAAUCAAUAAGACCAAGACUGGAGUAGGAAAGAUCAACCCUGUCAAGGAAGGAGAGAAGUCAAACUCGAUCAUCAGAUGCAUUACCAUCCAACACGGAGUUCCUCUCACAAAAAAAAAACUAUCUUACCCUAGGCUAUUCUUGCCCUAACCUUCCUAUCUAUUAUCCUACAUAAUAAAAUGUCUACACAUAUAAACACCCAUGCUUUCCUAAUCACUUUAUAAUUAACGAGAAACUUCUUAAUCAUAAAUUAAUUAGAAACUAAAAGUAAACUAUAAAUAAGUUUUUUUUAUACAUCCUUUUCUUACAAAUCUCGAGGACGAGAUUAAUUUUAAGGGGGGUAGAAUUUGUAACACUGAAAAAUCCUAUGAUAAGAUUUUUGGUAAAAUACUCCACAAAAUUUUGAAUUCGAAUAUAAUUUAAAGAAUUUUUUUACCACUAAAUUUACAUUCCCUAGAAUAAAUAUGUGUUCUAAGAAAGACUAGAAUUUAGUUUAAAACCUAAUUAUAUAAAAAUAAACUAAGUAAUUGUCCUUUUAAUUAAAUUAUUAUACAUAUUAAAAAAAGGGGUGAAAGUAUUGGAUAUUGAGGAAAAUACAAACAAAAAAAAAUGAAUACUAACGUUUGGACGAACUGUUAAAACAAAUAAUGUAUAUAUUGUGUAUGUUGAGCAUUCACUUAAAUGAAUAAUUAAUAUAUAUAUAUAAUAAACUUGAAUUUGCAUGCUGGAAUUUUAUUGUACUUUUGCAUAUGAACUUUAAUCUUGAAUUCAUGCUGUUUUUUUUAUGCUGCAAUUAAAUUAAAUUCAAGAAAAAGAAAAACUAGAAUACGAAUCAUGUUGAAACGUGGAAGAAACAUGAGAUAAUAGAAAUAGAAUAGAAGAAAUAAAACCAAGCAUCAUUUGGGACAAUCGAUCGGCUUCAACACAUAAUCACUCGCCAUGUGGCCCCUGCUUAGGAUCGACAUGCAUCUUGCAUGUAUCCUUUCCCAGGUUCUAGCCAUAUCUGUUGCAACAGCCAUGGGUUGUUACCAUAUACGCCCGUAUCUGCGGGUAGCUAGGUUUGUUGUGAUCCGAUAAAUUUGGCCGACGCUAUCCUAAAGCCAUGUGUCUCUCCUAUAAAACAAAUCCACCCAGCCUCGUCUUCGGCCUCAAACAGAACGCCAUAGCGCAGCUGAGAGAGAGAACAGAAGGGAGGAGAGAGGGCCUCGCCGGCGACCUUCGCUCCGGCCUUGAUGUGGGUGCCCAGUUCCUCGCUGGGCAGUGCCGAGCGUACACCGAGAAGGUCGCGCUCUCGCCGGUCAAGUCUGGAGGACGAGCUGCUCAGAAUGCGUCGUCAGCAUUGAGAGAAGUCAUGGGCUCCUACACAAAUGCAAUCCGCCGUCGUCUACGUCUCGACCAACGGUAAGAACAAUGCCCUG
This 5007-nucleotide long non-coding RNA is filed under the name Zea mays. RNAcentral describes it as "long non-coding RNA (ZMAY_LNC001640)". The record is from RNAcentral. Lineage: Eukaryota; Viridiplantae; Streptophyta; Magnoliopsida; Poales; Poaceae.